RNAcentral lists this ribosomal RNA (478 nucleotides) under uncultured organism. RNAcentral describes it as "partial 16S ribosomal RNA". It matches the Rfam family "Bacterial small subunit ribosomal RNA", at positions 330 to 799 of the family's 1533-position model. The record is from RNAcentral.
CGUACACUCCUACGGGAGGCAGCAGUGGGGAAUAUUGCACAAUGGGCGCAAGCCUGAUGCAGCCAUGCCGCGUGUAUGAAGAAGGCCUUCGGGUUGUAAAGUACUUUCAGCGGGGAGGAAGGCGAUAAGGUUAAUAACCUUGUCGAUUGACGUUACCCGCAGAAGAAGCACCGGCUAACUCCGUGCCAGCAGCCGCGGUAAUACGGAGGGUGCAAGCGUUAAUCGGAAUUACUGGGCGUAAAGCGCACGCAGGCGGUCUGUCAAGUCGGAUGUGAAAUCCCCAGGCUCAACCUGGGAACUGCAUUCGAAACUGGCAGGCUAGAGUCUUGUAGAGGGGGGUAGAAUUCCAGGUGUAGCGGUGAAAUGCGUAGAGAUCUGGAGGAAUACCGGUGGCGAAGGCGGCCCCCUGGACAAAGACUGACGCUCAGGUGCGAAAGCGUGGGGAGCAAACAGGAUUAGAAACCCCGGUAGUCCCAUG